This 263-nucleotide ribosomal RNA is filed under the name uncultured bacterium. Its description in RNAcentral is "partial 16S ribosomal RNA". It matches the Rfam family "Bacterial small subunit ribosomal RNA", at positions 524 to 784 of the family's 1533-position model. The record is from RNAcentral.
UACGUAGGGUGCAAGCGUUAAUCGGAAUUACUGGGCGUAAAGCGUGCGCAGGCGGUUAUGUAAGACAGGUAGUGAAAUCCCCGGGCUCAACCUGGGAACUGCGUUUGUGACUGCAUAGACUCGAGUACGGCAGAGGGGAGUGGAAUUCCGCGUGUAGCAGUGAAAUGCGUAGAUAUGCGGAGGAACACCGAUGGCGAAGGCAGCCUCCUGGGCCAGUACUGACGCUCAUGCACGAAAGCGUGGGGAGCAAACAGGAUUAGAAA